AUGGCCGGUGCAGGAGGACAAUUUUAUAUUAUCAUCAGUGCCAUGGCGCAGCUCCUGGUAGCCAUCAUGGCGCAACGGUCCGGCACGUUUAUCAACAAGCAGACCUCGCCGAGUCCAGCAGCAGCAAUAUCGAGGACGAUUUCCGUUAAUCACAGCGGGCGUGGUGACUUCAAGCAUAUUCAACAAGCAAUAGAUUCCAUUCCGGAUGGUAAUUCUGAGUGGAUCCGUAUCCACGUUGCAGCGGGGACGUACAGGGAGAAGGUGCACAUAAAAUCAAACAAGCCGUUUAUAGUUCUAGAAGGGGAGGGCCGAGAUCGGACGGCCAUGGAAUGGCCGGAUCACUAUUAUCGGAGUUUCAACAGAGUGCCUACUUUCGAAUCAGCGACGUUUCGGUGCGACGCCUCCGAUUUCCAGGCACGGAAUAUAACGUUCAAGAACACUUAUACAAUUGAUAACAACACGGUGCCAGCCGUGGCUGCUCAAGUGUCAGGAGAUCGCUCCGCGUUCUACAACUGUGGAUUCGUGGGGGUCCAGGACACGCUGAAUGACCAGCAAGGUCGCCAUUACUACGAGAAUUGCUACGUCUCCAGUGAUGGAUGGCUAGGGGCGCAGCCGCACUAG
RNAcentral lists this ribosomal RNA (621 nucleotides) under Triticum aestivum (bread wheat). Its description in RNAcentral is "partial small subunit ribosomal RNA". Lineage: Eukaryota; Viridiplantae; Streptophyta; Magnoliopsida; Poales; Poaceae. The record is from RNAcentral.